AACGAACGCUGGCGGCGCGCCUAACACAUGCAAGUCGAACGAGAAUCCGGGGCAACCCGGUAGUAAAGUGGCAAACGGGUGAGGAAUACAUGGGUAACCUACCCUUGAGAAGGGAAUAACCCGCCGAAAGGUGAGCUAAUACCCUAUACGCUAUCUUUUUUUCGAAUAGGAUAGGAAAGCCGGGUCGAGGACCUGGUACUCAAGGAGGGGCUCAUGUCCUAUCAGCUUGUUGGUGGGGUAACGGCCUACCAAGGCUACGACGGGUAGCUGGUCUGAGAGGAUGAUCAGCCACACUGGCACUGAGAUACGGGCCAGACUCCUACGGGAGGCAGCAGUGAGGAAUAUUGCGCAAUGGGCGAAAGCCUGACGCAGCGACGCCGCGUGGGGGAUGAAGGUUUUCGGAUUGUAAACCCUUUCAUGAGGAAAGAUAAAGUGGGUAACCACUUAGACGGUACCUCAAGAAGAAGCCACGGCUAACUUCGUG
This 484-nucleotide ribosomal RNA is filed under the name uncultured bacterium. RNAcentral's name for it is "bacterial SSU rRNA". It matches the Rfam family "Bacterial small subunit ribosomal RNA", at positions 29 to 507 of the family's 1533-position model. The record is from RNAcentral.